CUGAAUCUCGACGGUAUGGGCUCGACACUGUGAAAGCCCGUCAAGGGAAAAUUAGAGUCCGCGUUAUUUCUCGACACGAUACCCGGUCUGCAAAAUCUCUUGGCGUUGGACAGCGUCGAGAUAUUUGUCAGAUGUCACGUAUAGAGCACGUGAUCUUGGAGAAAGAAAAAACGCCCCCCGGUAAACUCUCACGCCCAUUAUUUCUCAACCCUAACACUUUUCAGAUCUCAAAUUCGCAUUCACCGUUUUCAUCUCCUUAGUUCAUCUAUUUUGCUCAGCAAUUCUUCAUUUUUCUAUGUUGCGUUUCUCUAUCUCGCUACCUCUCAACUUGCAGAUCUUGUGAGCUACCUUGCAAUUUAGGGUCUUUUGCUAGAUUUUGCUUGAAGGCUAUAUCUUUAAUUUGUGAUGAACGACAACCGCAACAACAGCCGGUGGAGAGUAUGAGAAAUAUGAUGUAUUCUGGAGAUAGUCUGUGGCAAAAAGAACAACAAGACAAUUUCUCAAGUUUCCUAUGAUAUGUGUGUGAGCCGCUUCCAUUGAUAGUUGAUCAUCUUCCUGUAGCGGUGAACUUUGCAUUCUUCACUUGCGGAUACCGUUGUGAUCCAAGUGCUUUGAGGAGGUCAUAGUGAAUGGCCGAAUGACUGUUACAUUAUACAAAUGGAGAGUGCCGUCCAAAAGGGUGGAGGAGUUGGUGUCAUGCAGUUAUAAGUGAAUAAUCAUCAUCCAGGGGUGCUGGGAUACCAGAUCAUUGAGGUGCCCUUCUUUUUUUUGAGGUAAUUUGUAACGAAAAGUGGAUUAUGUUUUGAUGUGUUGCUUAUUUCUCCUAUUUUUGCUUUGUUGUCCUCCUAAUUGAGGUUGUAUGAAGUAUUCCUUGAGGCAGACUUUUCUGAUCUUCAGCUGUUUAUCACUUAGUGAUUGAUCUUUGCUUUGACAGCCUAGAACAUGUACGAUUGUUUGCUGCCAGUGUUCAUUUUUUUCUGCAAAAAUGUUACUUCGUUAUUUGGCCAAGGCAAAACCUGGCAGCUAGUGGACUACUCAAGAUUACAACUGUUUUUAGCCUUGGAAGCAUCUCAGACGUUCAUCUAGUGGUGCAUAUUUGCAGGCUUCUUUAAUCAUAGUUGAUUACUACAACUGAGCAUCAACUUGUAAAUUCGUUAACAUAUAUAGAGAAUCUUCGCUUCAAGUUUUAAUUGUAUUUUUCGGUGAUAUUAUUAAUCUUUGUGAUUCAUUCAUAUCAUUGUUGGACAGAUUGGUUCUAGUCUUGUAAGUUAUGUGGUACUAAAUUUCAUUUAUGAGAAUAAAUUUUGAUUUUGUAGCA
This is a long non-coding RNA of Spinacia oleracea (spinach), 1318 nucleotides long. RefSeq lists it as uncharacterized. The record is from RefSeq and is a predicted model, not a curated record. Lineage: Eukaryota; Viridiplantae; Streptophyta; Magnoliopsida; Caryophyllales; Amaranthaceae. The transcript has 6 exons.